This 157-nucleotide ribosomal RNA is filed under the name Micromonas pusilla. RNAcentral's name for it is "5.8S ribosomal RNA". It matches the Rfam family "5.8S ribosomal RNA". From Rfam's summary of the family: 5.8S ribosomal RNA (5.8S rRNA) is a component of the large subunit of the eukaryotic ribosome. It is transcribed by RNA polymerase I as part of the 45S precursor that also contains 18S and 28S rRNA. The record is from RNAcentral. Lineage: Eukaryota; Viridiplantae; Chlorophyta; Mamiellophyceae; Mamiellales; Mamiellaceae.
ACAACUCUCAACAACGGAUGUCUUGGCUCUCGCAACGAUGAAGAACGCAGCGAAAUGCGAUAUGUAGUGUGAUUUGCACUGUACGUGAACCAUCGAAUCUUUGAACGCAUAUUGCACUCGAGGCUUCGGCCGAGAGUAUGCCUGCCUCAGCGUCAGU